RNAcentral lists this ribosomal RNA (497 nucleotides) under uncultured bacterium. Its description in RNAcentral is "partial 16S ribosomal RNA". It matches the Rfam family "Bacterial small subunit ribosomal RNA", at positions 28 to 507 of the family's 1533-position model. The record is from RNAcentral.
GAUGAACGCUGGCGGCGUGCCUAAUACAUGCAAGUCGAGCGAACGGACGAGAAGCUUGCUUCUCUGAUGUUAGCGGCGGACGGGUGAGUAACACGUGGAUAACCUACCUAUAAGACUGGGAUAACUUCGGGAAACCGGAGCUAAUACCGGAUGAUAUUUUGAACCGCAUGGUUCAAAAGUGAAAGACGGUCUUGCUGUCACUUAUAGAUGGAUCCGCGCUGCAUUAGCUAGUUGGCAAGGUAACGGCUUACCAAGGCAACGAUGCAUAGCCGACCUGAGAGGGUGAUCGGCCACACUGGAACUGAGACACGGUCCAGACUCCUACGGGAGGCAGCAGUAGGGAAUCUUCCGCAAUGGGCGAAAGCCUGACGGAGCAACGCCGCGUGAGUGAUGAAGGUCUUCGGAUCGUAAAACUCUGUUAUUAGGGAAGAACAUAUGUGUAAGUAACUGUGCACAUCUUGACGGUACCUAAUCAGAAAGCCACGGCUAACUACGUG